AGACGUUCUCGGGGCAGGGUGGAAUUCCCUACCGGCGGUGUUGGUGGCUUUGGCUGCCUCAGCCCGCGAGCGCCCUGCAUCCGUGCAGGGGACAAGCAGACCCGGUGUGAAUCCGGGGCCGACGGUCAGAGUCCGGAUGAGAGAGAACGUUC
Molecule: non-coding RNA, 152 nt
Organism: Saccharibacter sp. AM169
Lineage: Bacteria; Pseudomonadati; Pseudomonadota; Alphaproteobacteria; Acetobacterales; Acetobacteraceae
Source: Rfam